CAGAAGUACGGAAGGCUGAAGUCCCUUGGGCACAGCCUGGAAUUACAGAGCGUCCAAUCUUCAUGGGUGUUUCCAGCAAAGACGAUGCCCCAUUCCUGUCCUUCCCUUCCCUCAGUGACAUUCAGGAGAAGAGAAGUUCCAAAGGCAGAACAUGGGCUGCUGGAUGUGUAUUAGUGUCUCCAGGGAGGGGCCUGGCCCAGCUCUGAGGAAUGAUAGCCAGAUCCAUGUGCUCUCCCGGAGCUGGCACACAUACAUGACCCAGCCAUGCUACUGGGAGACAUGACUGCCCUUCUCCUGGAGGUACUUUCCCCACCAGUCAACUACAGCUCCAGGACCAUGCCCUAAUCUACUUUGGCACUUUAAAAUCAGCUAGUUUAGCCCAAACUAAAUGAAGCGACAUGGUGGAUGAGCAGGUGAGAUAGGAAGAAGGCAACCAAGUAACAUCUAUAUUAAGGAAAGAGAGGAGGGGGCAAAAAUGUAGCCCCUCUCCAAGUCACUGACACUGUGAGACUGUCACUCUUGCUGUUAGAGGUGGAAAGCCUUAAAAACUUCCAUUUCACAAUUCUUACCUUCAGCUGCUUCAUUUUACAUUGUACAUGUAGUUAUAUUGAAGAGCUUCUGCUUGUGUGUGAUAAGCUCAGCUUGGGCUUGAGAACAAAGAGCUUCUGAGAACAAGAAUUAAAAAUGCUCUGACAGAGCAAAAAAGAUAAUCUUUAAUCCACUCCUUCAGAUGUAUAUGUCUAAGUGGUAGACACAUCUUGUUCUUUCACUGUUGUGGAAGAGGAAGAGAAUUUGUGCAGCGUGUUUGUACAUUUUGCCCCUGUUGGAGAGAUGGGAUGUUAUGAAUCUAUGUCAGAAAAAAUUUCUUUUGUGUGAA
Corvus hawaiiensis (hawaiian crow) is the source of this 877-nucleotide long non-coding RNA. RefSeq lists it as uncharacterized. The transcript is spliced from 3 exons. NCBI's taxonomy places the organism in Eukaryota, Metazoa, Chordata, Aves, Passeriformes, Corvidae. The record is from RefSeq and is a predicted model, not a curated record.